UACGGAGGAUCCAAGCGUUAUCCGGAUUUAUUGGGUUUAAAGGGUGCGUAGGCGGAUGAAUAAGUCAGUGGUGAAAGCCUGCAGCUUAACUGUAGAAUUGCCAUUGAUACUGUUUAUCUUGAAUAUAGUUGAGGUGGGCGGAAUAUGACAUGUAGUGGUGAAAUACUUAGAUAUGUCAUAGAACACCGAUUGCGAAGGCAGCUCACUAAGCUAUGAUUGACGCUGAGGCACGAAAGCGUGGGGAGCAAACAGG
Molecule: ribosomal RNA, 253 nt
Filed under: uncultured bacterium
Lineage: Bacteria
Description: partial 16S ribosomal RNA
Rfam family: Bacterial small subunit ribosomal RNA
Source: RNAcentral